AGAGUUUGAUCAUGGCUCAGAUUGAACGCUGGCGGCAGGCCUAACACAUGCAAGUCGAACGGUAACAGAAAGCAGCUUGCUGCUUUGCUGACGAGUGGCGGACGGGUGAGUAAUGUCUGGGAAACUGCCUGAUGGAGGGGGAUAACUACUGGAAACGGUAGCUAAUACCGCAUAAUGUCGCAAGACCAAAGAGGGGGACCUUCGGGCCUCUUGCCAUCGGAUGUGCCCAGAUGGGAUUAGCUUGUUGGUGGGGUAACGGCUCACCAAGGCGACGAUCCCUAGCUGGUCUGAGAGGAUGACCAGCCACACUGGAACUGAGACACGGUCCAGACUCCUACGGGAGGCAGCAGUGGGGAAUAUUGCACAAUGGGCGCAAGCCUGAUGCAGCCAUGCCGCGUGUAUGAAGAAGGCCUUCGGGUUGUAAAGUACUUUCAGCGGGGAGGAAGGGAGUAAAGUUAAUACCUUUGCUCAUUGACGUUACCCGCAGAAGAAGCACCGGCUAACUCCGUGCCAGCAGCCGCGGUAAUACGGAGGGUGCAAGCGUUAAUCGGAAUUACUGGGCGUAAAGCGCACGCAGGCGGUUUGUUAAGUCAGAUGUGAAAUCCCCGGGCUCAACCUGGGAACUGCAUCUGAUACUGGCAAGCUUGAGUCUCGUAGAGGGGGGUAGAAUUCCAGGUGUAGCGGUGAAAUGCGUAGAGAUCUGGAGGAAUACCGGUGGCGAAGGCGGCCCCCUGGACGAAGACUGACGCUCAGGUGCGAAAGCGUGGGGAGCAAACAGGAUUAGAUACCCUGGUAGUCCACGCCGUAAACGAUGUCGACUUGGAGGUUGUGCCCUUGAGGCGUGGCUUCCGGAGCUAACGCGUUAAGUCGACCGCCUGGGGAGUACGGCCGCAAGGUUAAAACUCAAAUGAAUUGACGGGGGCCCGCACAAGCGGUGGAGCAUGUGGUUUAAUUCGAUGCAACGCGAAGAACCUUACCUGGUCUUGACAUCCACGGAAGUUUUCAGAGAUGAGAAUGUGCCUUCGGGAACCGUGAGACAGGUGCUGCAUGGCUGUCGUCAGCUCGUGUUGUGAAAUGUUGGGUUAAGUCCCGCAACGAGCGCAACCCUUAUCCUUUGUUGCCAGCGGUCCGGCCGGGAACUCAAAGGAGACUGCCAGUGAUAAACUGGAGGAAGGUGGGGAUGACGUCAAGUCAUCAUGGCCCUUACGACCAGGGCUACACACGUGCUACAAUGGCGCAUACAAAGAGAAGCGACCUCGCGAGAGCAAGCGGACCUCAUAAAGUGCGUCGUAGUCCGGAUUGGAGUCUGCAACUCGACUCCAUGAAGUCGGAAUCGCUAGUAAUCGUGGAUCAGAAUGCCACGGUGAAUACGUUCCCGGGCCUUGUACACACCGCCCGUCACACCAUGGGAGUGGGUUGCAAAAGAAGUAGGUAGCUUAACCUUCGGGAGGGCGCUUACCACUUUGUGAUUCAUGACUGGGGUGAAGUCGUAACAAGGUAACCGUAGGGGAACCUGCGGUUGGAUCACCU
Molecule: ribosomal RNA, 1530 nt
Filed under: Escherichia coli
Lineage: Bacteria; Pseudomonadati; Pseudomonadota; Gammaproteobacteria; Enterobacterales; Enterobacteriaceae
Description: bacterial SSU rRNA
Rfam family: Bacterial small subunit ribosomal RNA
Source: RNAcentral